This 205-nucleotide long non-coding RNA is filed under the name Mytilus galloprovincialis (Mediterranean mussel). The record is from RNAcentral. Lineage: Eukaryota; Metazoa; Mollusca; Bivalvia; Mytilida; Mytilidae.
GUUUUCUGUACAAAGUUAACGUAAAAUUGAAAACUAGACAAAAAGGCGGAAGUUCAAUCUUUAUUUCGGGGUAGAAUGGGGAUUUUUCCUAAACACAUUCCAUUCCUAGAUUACAAACUACAAACAUGUGUGAACAAAAUUGAUCAUUGAGAAAUGAAACGAGACGUUGAAAAUUUGGCAACACGGAUACUUUGCUAUUACCAAC